Long non-coding RNA from Phragmites australis (common reed), 3528 nucleotides. RefSeq lists it as uncharacterized. The record is from RefSeq and is a predicted model, not a curated record. NCBI's taxonomy places the organism in Eukaryota, Viridiplantae, Streptophyta, Magnoliopsida, Poales, Poaceae. The transcript is spliced from 5 exons.
CACUCCGCUCGGCCGCACGAUCGCCCGCUCGCGUCCUCUCCCACACGAUCGCCCUCACGCCGCUCAUUCCGCUCCCACAUUCCGCUCCUCUCCCAAUCUUGCGCUCCUCCAGCGCCGCUCGCGCCCGCGCUCACGCUCCGCAUCCACAUCCUCAUCCUGCGCGCCGCUGCCGUCGCCUCCCGUGUCGCCCUCGUUGUCGGUCGCCUCCCCGCCAACGAGUCACCGUCGACGACGUCCGCCGCCGAAUAUUCCUUCGCUCCCCUCGCGAUUCCUUCACUCCCCUCGCGAUUCCUUCGCCUCCCUUGCGAUUCCUCUGCCGUGCCCGCGCCCGCGCUCACGCUCCGCAUCCUCAUCCUCAUCGCUCCCCGCCCCUUCCUCAUCUUGCGCGCUGCCACCGUCGCCCUCGCCGUCGGUCGCCUCCCCGCCAACGAGUCACCAUCGACGACGUCCGCCGCCGAAUAUUCCUUCGCUCCCCUCGCGAUUCCUUCACUCCCCUCGCGAUUCCUUCGCCUCCCUUGCGAUUCCUCUGCCGUGCCCGCGCCCGCGCUCACGCUCCGCAUCCUCAUCCUCAUCGCUCCCCGCCCCUUCCUCAUCUUGCGCGCUGCCACCGUCGCCCUCGCCGUCGGUCGCCUUCCCGUCGAUGAAUCACCGUCGACGACGUCCAGGACCCCACCUUCAAAGUUCCAACGCCGCCGACAGCCAUCCUUGCCGUUCGCACGCUGUGCUCCGCCGAAGGGAACCCAUUCCUAGGGUUUUGCCGCUGCCACCAAUCCGCGCCUCGAUCUGCGCUGUUGCGCCGCCGCCAUCCCCGACUCCAAUGACGCCAUCGGUUGCAGUCGUCGUUGUGGCUGCUGGGAUAACAACACCGGAGGCAGGAGUGAGGAGGAUGCAACGGUGGAGAACACCAGCGUGGGGAGCGUGUCGGUGGCGUCGGGAGCUGGUUGUGGCGCGGCGUUGUAGAGGAGGACGGGGUCCGGGUGGUGGGACUGGGGUAGACGGCGAGCUCGUCCCCACGCUGCCGUGUUCUGCGAGCGCCGCGUCGCCCUCCAGAACUCGCAUGGCAUCCCCACGCUGCCGUGUACUGCGAGCGCCACGCCGCCCUCCACAACUCGCAUGGCAUUCACAUAUGCUACCAUUGUCAAUCAGAGGCACCUCAAUGGAGAACAACCGUGAUUCCAUGGGCGCCAUCCUCCACAAUGAACAGAAGAACCUCCCCAUCUCCAAUAAGGUACACCUCUAAUUGCUGCAUGCCAGGCACUCGAUGAAAUCACCAAGAAGGGGUCGUUCAUGCCCAAAUAACUGGGAGUAGCGAGCAUUGGUGCUGUUGUUGAGCACGGUGCAGCUCACUGUCACUAGUGUGGCUCAGUGGGUCGAGGUGCUUCUAUUGUCUGCCAAAAUUUGGAGCUGGGUCUGCCAUUUCCACCAAUGUCGCCUCCCCCAAGAUCUCGGCGAGAAAUUUGUCUUGGCAGCAUCAUGCGUAGCCACGGCAAAUGUGAGAUCGCCGGUAUUGGCAUAGGGGAUAUGGAUGUCAAUAGAAGAUGGCUUGAUGAUGGUGAAGAUCUAUCAUGGUCACCCACUGAAGGAUACUAAGAUAUGGUAGGAAAAUUGGCUGUUGCAAAAAUGGUGCCAGACCUGCCAGCUAAUUCAGCAUGUGGACGCUACUGAGUGUUGGAAAUUAAAUGGCGUCACUAUACCCAAGAAGGUAAUGGACUUUUUCCUUAAUCUUUUAAAAUCCCUCUUGUUUUUAUGAAUCUUCUCUUUAUUAGUGCUGAUGUAAAAAAAGUUACAGUUCAUGAAGGAGUUUUGUCAGGUCCAAGAUAAUCUCUCCGAUUCAUGUUUCAUAGGUCAAAAGAUAAUUACAAUUAUUUUGAUUUUCUGGUUACUGAAGGCAACAUAUGAUUAUGACCAUAGUAGGCGGAUAUGGUCCAAUGAUUAGUUUCAAGCAGCAUGGCAAAUCAUGUUUAAUAUUUGGAACCAAUCACUCAAAUUAAGAUAGCUUGGAGUGGUGCCUCUGCAGUCACUUCAGCAGAGCAUGAGAGCAAUGUUCUGCGAUAUUAUUUGUGAAAAAUGGUGAACUAAUUGGAACAAAAGACACUUUGUAAGUAUCUUACAUAUACAAUUUAACAUAUUGGACUAUUAAUUUUUUUUGAAAAAUAAUAGUAAAAACAACUCUUUCUGAAGAAAAUAUUCUCAUGACAACUUUAGACCCUGACCACACCUCGCCACCAACUAUUUUUUUUCCUGAAUGUUCAAGCUGGAGGGCUGCACCGAGAGGAGCCUUCCAUCUUUCCCUUUGCUAUUUCCUCUGUAUUGUUUGGUUGGUGUAUAAAUUUUGGUUGUGACAAGCGCUCCAAUUUCUACUGUUCAGUUAUUUAACCAUGUACAGGAUGAGGCUCUGAAGAUGGAGAUGACUGCCAGAAGAACAUACGCUCUAAUUGUAGAAAUCUGAUCCAGUUAUUCAUGAAGGCAGAGGGGAAACUGUAGGGGAGGCCCCUACUGCGGUAAAUAUAUAUUAUAAAAAGAAAAGGUAACUGUACAGAAAUUAAGGAGGGGGGGGGGGACCAAACUAUACAAGGGCAAGGAAGCCCAAACCAGAGGGACAGAGAGAAGAAAUAAAUGCAUAAUGAACAUUAAGAAUGUCAGUGUUAUUUCUCAAUUCAUAUGGAGUUUCAUAUGUUCACAUAAGUUUCAAAAAGUGACUCUUGUGGAUCAGAUGGCUCAUUAAGGCAAAAAUCUUGUCUCUUUUCUGCUAAUAGCAGCACAUGCAUAUGUGUAAUCUCAUUCUGAACUAUUUACUUUUGCUUUCAAGGGCAUUAGCUUGAACAAUUUUACCGGCACACUUCCUUCUGAACUGGGCAACUUGGCCAAACUGGAGCAACUGUAAAAUGCAUCUUUUGAACUGCCAAACCUCACUUCUGAAAGAACUUCAAUUUUGGCAACAAUCUUUGCAUAGUUCAACUUGAGGAUUAUUGCAAUGUUUCAAUUGCAAUUACUUUAAUAGCUCUGGCUUCAGCGGUCCAUUCCCUUCGACGUUCUCAAAGCUUAAGAACUUGAAGACCCUGUAUGCUCAUUACCACAGCUACAAUUGUUAUGUCCGAUGUAAUAUCACACACUUAAUUUAAUAGAUUUUCCUGUGCUUUCAGUGGGCAGCCGACAACGAUUUCAUAGGCAAAAUGCCUGAUUUUAUCGGGAGCUUGACUAAGUUGCAAGAUCUGUAAGAUUAAUUAUCAAUUGCUUCACAAUAUAUUCUUUUGUAGAAAGUUUUCCUAACCAGGAAAUUGUGUAAUCUAAGUUUUCUACAUAUGUUUUUUCCAUAUGUGUUAGCACAAGAACGUUUUUCACUUGUCACUCCUAACAGAAAUGCAGCAUAUUUUCAUGUGGUCAAAUGAAACUGAUUGACACAACAUCCUGAAUGUAGAGCUGCUUUUUUGUCAUGUUCAAAUGACAAAUGGACUUUGCAUCACCCUGCUUAAUAGGGGUUAAAAUUAUGAACUUGUAGGAGGUUCCAAGGAAAUUUUUUUCAAGACC